AUACGGAGGGUGCAAGCGUUGUUCGGGAUCACUGGGCGUAAAGGGCGCGCAGGCGGUUUGGUAAGUCAGAUGUGAAAGCCCACGGCUCAACCGUGGAAGUGCAUUUGAAACUGUCAGACUUGAGUACUAGAGGGGAAAGUGGAAUUCCCGGUGUAGAGGUGAAAUUCGUAGAUAUCGGGAGGAAUACCGGUGGCGAAGGCGACUUUCUAGCUAGAUACUGACGCUGAGGCGCGAAAGCGUGGGGAGCAAACAGGAUUAGAUACCCUAGUAGUCC
RNAcentral lists this ribosomal RNA (274 nucleotides) under uncultured bacterium. Its description in RNAcentral is "partial 16S ribosomal RNA". It matches the Rfam family "Bacterial small subunit ribosomal RNA", at positions 523 to 796 of the family's 1533-position model. The record is from RNAcentral.